Molecule: ribosomal RNA, 590 nt
Filed under: uncultured soil bacterium
Lineage: Bacteria
Description: bacterial SSU rRNA
Rfam family: Bacterial small subunit ribosomal RNA
Source: RNAcentral
GCUGGCGGCGCGCCUAACACAUGCAAGUCGAGCGAGAACCAGGGCUUCGGCCCUGGGGACAGCGGCGAACGGGUGAGUAACACGUGGAUAACCUGCCCUCGGCACCGGAAUAGCCCGGGGAAACUCGGAUUAAUGCCGGAUAGCCCCACAUCCCUGCGGGGAACGUGGGAAAAGGUAGCUUCGGCCUCUGGCCGAGGAUGGGUCCGCGGUGGAUUAGCUUGUUGGCGGGGUAACGGCUCACCAAGGCGACGAUCCAUAGCUGGUCUGAGAGGACGAUCAGCCACACUGGGACUGAGACACGGCCCAGACUCCUACGGGAGGCAGCAGUGGGGAAUCUUGCGCAAUGGGCGAAAGCCUGACGCAGCGACGCCGCGUGCGGGAAGAAGGCCUUCGGGUUGUAAACCGCUUUCAGGAGGGACGAAGCCACUCGGGUUAAUAGCCCAGAGGGUGACGGUACCUCCAGAAGAAGCCCCGGCUAACUACGUGCCAGCAGCCGCGGUAAUACAUAGGGGGCAAGCGUUGUCCGGAUUCAUUGGGCGUAAAGAGCGUGUAGGCGGCCAGGUAGGUCGGUUGUGAAAACUGGAGGCUCA